RNAcentral lists this ribosomal RNA (494 nucleotides) under uncultured Glomus. RNAcentral describes it as "SSU rRNA". It matches the Rfam family "Eukaryotic small subunit ribosomal RNA", at positions 569 to 1069 of the family's 1831-position model. The record is from RNAcentral. Lineage: Eukaryota; Fungi; Glomeromycota; Glomeromycetes; Glomerales; Glomeraceae.
AGCAGCCGCGGUAAUUCCAGCUCCAAUAGCGUAUAUUAAAGUUGUUGCAGUUAAAAAGCUCGUAGUUGAAUUUCGGGACUAAUAUGUCGGUCGUACUUUGUACGUACUAGCAUUAUUGGUUUCUCCCUUCUGACGAACCACGAUGUCAUUAAUUUGGUGUCAUGGGAAAUCAGGACUGUUACUUUGAAAAAAUUAGAGUGUUUAAAGCAAGCUCGCGCUUGAAUACAUUAGCAUGGAAUAAUGAAAUAGGACGUUUGAUUCUAUUUUGUUGGUUUCUAGGAUCGACGUAAUGAUUAAUAGGGAUAGUUGGGGGCAUUAGUAUUCAAUUGUCAGAGGUGAAAUUCUUGGAUUUAUUGAAGACUAACUACUGCGAAAGCAUUUGCCAAGGAUGUUUUCAUUAAUCAAGAACGAAAGUUAGGGGAUCGAAGACGAUCAGAUACCGUCGUAGUCUUAACCAUAAACUAUGCCGACUAGGGAUCGGAUGAUGUAAUUUU